RNAcentral lists this ribosomal RNA (502 nucleotides) under uncultured bacterium. Its description in RNAcentral is "partial 16S ribosomal RNA". It matches the Rfam family "Bacterial small subunit ribosomal RNA", at positions 28 to 507 of the family's 1533-position model. The record is from RNAcentral.
GAUUAACGCUGGCGGCGUGCCUAACACAUGCAAGUCGAGCGGCAGCGAGUUUUACACUGAAUUCUGGAAGCUUCUAGUUGAAAGAGAAGAUUUAUUCAAGAAUUUUGUGUAAAGUGUCGGCGAGCGGCGGACGGCUGAGUAACGCGUGGGAACGUACCCCCAAGUGAGGGAUUACGCAUCGAAAGGUGUGCUAGUACCGCAUAUGGUCUUCGGAUUAAAGCCUUCGGGCGCUGUGGGAACGGCCUGCGUAAGAUUAGAUGGUUGGUGGGGUAAUGGCCUACCAAGUCGACGAUCUUUACCUGGGUUGAGAGGAUGAUCAGUCAGACUGGAACUGAGACACGGUCCAGACUCCUACGGGAGGCAGCAGUGAGGAAUCUUCCACAAUGGGCGAAAGCCUGAUGGAGCAACGCCGCGUGCAGGAUGAAGGCCUUCGGGUUGUAAACUGCUUUUAUAAGUGAGGAUUAUGACAGUAACUUAUGAAUAAGGAUCGGCUAACUACGUG